CCUACGGGUGGCAGCAGUGAGGAAUAUUGGUCAAUGGCCGAGAGGCUGAACCAGCCAAGUCGCGUGAGGGAAGACGGCCCUACGGGUUGUAAACCUCUUUUGUCGGGGAGCAAAGCGAGUCACGUGUGACUCCUUGCGAGUACCCGAAGAAAAAGCAUCGGCUAACUCCGUGCCAGCCGCCGCGGUACGACGGGGGAUGCGAGCGUUAUCCGGAUUUAUUGGGUUUAAAGGGUGCGCAGGCGGAGGUGCAAGUCAGCGGUCAAGUUGCGGGGCUCAACCCCGUACUGCCGUUGAAACUGCAUCCCUUGAGUGCGCGAGAGGUGUGCGGAAUGCGUGGUGUAGCGGUGAAAUGCAUAGAUAUCACGCAGAACUCCGAUUGCGAAGGCAGCAUACCGGCGCGCAACUGACGCUCAUGCACGAAAGCGUGGGUAGCGAACAGGAUUAGAUACCCCAGUAGUC
This 459-nucleotide ribosomal RNA is filed under the name uncultured bacterium. RNAcentral's name for it is "partial 16S ribosomal RNA". It matches the Rfam family "Bacterial small subunit ribosomal RNA", at positions 338 to 795 of the family's 1533-position model. The record is from RNAcentral.